AGGACGAACGCUGGCGGCGCGCUUAAUACAUGCAAGUCGAGCGAGAACCAGGGCUUCGGCCCUGGGGACAGCGGCGAACGGGUGAGUAACACGUGGGUAAUCAACCCCCGACACCGGGAUAGCCCAGGGAAACUUGGAUUAAUACCGGAUGCUCCAUCUGGCUUUCGAGCCGGCUGGAAAAGGGUAGCUUCGGCCUCCGGUCGGGGACGAGCCCGCGGCGGAUUAGCUUGUUGGUGAGGUAAAGGCUCACCAAGGCGACGAUCCGUAGCUGGUCUGAGAGGACGAUCAGCCACACUGGGACUGAGACACGGCCCAGGCUCCUACGGGAGGCAGCAGUAGGGAAUCUUGCGCAAUGGGCGAAAGCCUGACGCAGCGACGCCGCGUGAGGGAAGAGGCCUUCGGGUUGUAACCUCUUUCGACGGGACGAUAAUGACGGUACCGUAGAAGAAGCUCCGGCUAACUUCGUGCCAGCAGCCGC
Molecule: ribosomal RNA, 478 nt
Filed under: uncultured bacterium
Lineage: Bacteria
Description: SSU rRNA
Rfam family: Bacterial small subunit ribosomal RNA
Source: RNAcentral